RNAcentral lists this ribosomal RNA (327 nucleotides) under uncultured eukaryote. RNAcentral's name for it is "partial 18S ribosomal RNA". It matches the Rfam family "Eukaryotic small subunit ribosomal RNA", at positions 1470 to 1796 of the family's 1831-position model. The record is from RNAcentral.
CCCUUAGAUGUUCUGGGCCGCACGCGCGCUACACUGAUGCAUGCAACAAGUCUUUUCCUUGGCCGAGAGGCCUGGGCAAUCUUUGAAUAUGCAUCGUGAUGGGGAUAGACGAUUGCAAUUAUUCGUCUUCAACGAGGAAUUCCUAGUAAACGCAAGUCAUCAGCUUGCAUUGAUUACGUCCCUGCCCUUUGUACACACCGCCCGUCGCACCUACCGAUUGAAUGGUCCGGUGAAGCGUUCGGACCGUGGCCUUUGGACGGUUCGCCGUCUGUUGGCUGCGGGAAGUUCGUUAAACCUUAUCAUUUAGAGGAAGGAGAAGUCGUAACA